RNAcentral lists this transfer RNA (70 nucleotides) under Cnemaspis lineatubercularis. RNAcentral describes it as "tRNA-Ala". It matches the Rfam family "tRNA". From Rfam's summary of the family: Transfer RNA (tRNA) molecules are approximately 80 nucleotides in length. Their secondary structure includes four short double-helical elements and three loops (D, anti-codon, and T loops). Lineage: Eukaryota; Metazoa; Chordata; Lepidosauria; Squamata; Gekkonidae. The record is from RNAcentral.
UAAGAUCUUAGCUUAAUUAAAGCGCCUGAGUUGCAGUUAGGUGAUGCAGGUUGUAGUUUUGCAGGUCUUC